GCUAUUAUUCCAAAUUGCUGAGAAUUUUAAGCCAUGUUUGAAAUUAAUUUCUUGGUUGCUUCAGGUGUCUUAUUCACUAACACCUCUUCACUUGUUGCAUCAAUCAUACUUCUAUCCAUUGGUAACAAUCCUUCAUAGAAGUAUUGGAUUGGGAGCUAGUCUGAAUUUUGGUGAUGGAGAAAACUAGGACAUAAUUGUUUGAACCUCUCCCCAU
Molecule: long non-coding RNA, 214 nt
Filed under: Gossypium barbadense (sea-island cotton)
Lineage: Eukaryota; Viridiplantae; Streptophyta; Magnoliopsida; Malvales; Malvaceae
Description: long non-coding RNA (GBAR_LNC017919)
Source: RNAcentral